AAUUCGCCCUUAGAGUUUGAUCCUGGCUCAGAUUGAACGCUGGCGGCAUGCCUUACACAUGCAAGUCGAACGGUAACGCGGGGCAACCUGGCGACGAGUGGCGAACGGGUGAGUAAUAUAUCGGAACGUGCCCAGUCGUGGGGGAUAACUGCUCGAAAGAGCAGCUAAUACCGCAUACGACCUGAGGGUGAAAGCGGGGGAUCUUCGGACCUCGCGCGAUUGGAGCGGCCGAUAUCAGAUUAGGUAGUUGGUGGGGUAAAGGCCUACCAAGCCGACGAUCUGUAGCUGGUCUGAGAGGACGACCAGCCACACUGGGACUGAGACACGGCCCAGACUCCUACGGGAGGCAGCAGUGGGGAAUUUUGGACAAUGGGGGCAACCCUGAUCCAGCCAUGCCGCGUGCGGGAAGAAGGCCUUCGGGUUGUAAACCGCUUUUGUCAGGGAAGAAAUCCUUUGGGCUAAUAACUCGGAGGGAUGACGGUACCG
Molecule: ribosomal RNA, 486 nt
Filed under: uncultured bacterium
Lineage: Bacteria
Description: bacterial SSU rRNA
Rfam family: Bacterial small subunit ribosomal RNA
Source: RNAcentral